CGUGGCUCCAAUCCAAGCCAUUGCAAUUAUCCCUCCAUAACUGCUCUGGAUAGACAGGGGCCUAAAUAAAUAGUUUCUUUGACGGUCGCUGUUCAGUUUGACUUACUUGAUCAGCAACUUAUCUGGAAAGAACAUGC
This 137-nucleotide small nucleolar RNA is filed under the name Leptobrachium leishanense (Leishan spiny toad). The record is from RNAcentral. Lineage: Eukaryota; Metazoa; Chordata; Amphibia; Anura; Megophryidae.